Molecule: ribosomal RNA, 281 nt
Filed under: uncultured bacterium
Lineage: Bacteria
Description: partial 16S ribosomal RNA
Rfam family: Bacterial small subunit ribosomal RNA
Source: RNAcentral
UGGGCCUACGGGAGGCAGCAGUGGGGAAUAUUGCACAAUGGGGAGAACCCUGAUGCAGCGACGCCGCGUGGGCGAUGGAGUAUUUCGGUAUGUAAAGCCCUAUCGGCAGGGAAGAAACUGACAGUACCUGACUAAGAAGCCCCGGCUAACUACGUGCCAGCAGCCGCGGGAAUACGUAGGGGGCAAGCGUUAUCCGGAUUCACUGGGCGGAAAGGGAGCGCAGGCGGGACGGCAAGCCUGGUGUGAAAACCCGGGGCCCAACCCCGGGCGUGCAUGGGGAA